UGGGGUGAAGUCGUAACAAGGUAACCGUAGGGGAACCUGCGGUUGGAUCACCUCCUUACCUUAAAGAA
This 68-nucleotide ribosomal RNA is filed under the name Klebsiella aerogenes. RNAcentral describes it as "partial 16S ribosomal RNA". The stretch from base 1 to 58 matches the Rfam family "Bacterial small subunit ribosomal RNA", at positions 1476 to 1533 of the family's 1533-position model. RNAcentral also lists the same sequence under 2 other names. Lineage: Bacteria; Pseudomonadati; Pseudomonadota; Gammaproteobacteria; Enterobacterales; Enterobacteriaceae. The record is from RNAcentral.